RNAcentral lists this ribosomal RNA (253 nucleotides) under uncultured bacterium. Its description in RNAcentral is "partial 16S ribosomal RNA". It matches the Rfam family "Bacterial small subunit ribosomal RNA", at positions 524 to 776 of the family's 1533-position model. The record is from RNAcentral.
UACGAAGGGUGCAAACGUUGCUCGGAAUUACUGGGCGUAAAGCGUGCGUAGGUGGUUUGUUAAGUCUGUUGUGAAAGCCCCGGGCUCAACCUGGGAAUGGCAAUGGAUACUGGCAAGCUAGAGUGCGGUAGAGGGUAGUGGAAUUCCCGGUGUAGCGGUGAAAUGCGUAGAGAUCGGGAGGAACACCAGUGGCGAAGGCGGCUACCUGGACCAGCACUGACACUGAGGCACGAAAGCGUGGGGAGCAAACAGG